CACGUAGGCGGAUAUUUAAGUCAGGGGUGAAAUCCCAGAGCUCAACUCUGGAACUGCCUUUGAUACUGGGUACCUUGAGUAUGGAAGAGGUAAGUGGAAUUCCGAGUGUAGAGGUGAAAUUCGUAGAUAUUCGGAGGAACACCAGUGGCGAAGGCGGCUUACUGGUCCAUUACUGACGCUGAGGUGCGAAAGCGUGGGGAGCAAACA
Molecule: ribosomal RNA, 207 nt
Filed under: uncultured bacterium
Lineage: Bacteria
Description: partial 16S ribosomal RNA
Rfam family: Bacterial small subunit ribosomal RNA
Source: RNAcentral